RNAcentral lists this ribosomal RNA (501 nucleotides) under uncultured bacterium. Its description in RNAcentral is "partial 16S ribosomal RNA". It matches the Rfam family "Bacterial small subunit ribosomal RNA", at positions 30 to 523 of the family's 1533-position model. The record is from RNAcentral.
AUUGAACGCUGGCGGCAUGCCUUACACAUGCAAGUCGAACGGCAGCACGGGUGCUUGCACCUGGUGGCGAGUGGCGAACGGGUGAGUAAUAUAUCGGAACGUACCUUAUUGUGGGGGAUAACGCAGCGAAAGCUGUGCUAAUACCGCAUAAUCCCUAAGGGGAAAAGCGGGGGACCGUAAGGCCUCGCGCAAUUAGAGCGGCCGAUACCUGAUUAGCUAGUUGGUGAGGUAAAGGCUCACCAAGGCAACGAUCAGUAGCUGGUCUGAGAGGACGAUCAGCCACACUGGGACUGAGACACGGCCCAGACUCCUACGGGAGGCAGCAGUGGGGAAUUUUGGACAAUGGGGGCAACCCUGAUCCAGCAAUGCCGCGUGAGUGAAGAGGGCCUUCGGGUUGUAAAGCUCUUUUGUCAGGGAAGAAACAGCAGCUCUAACACAGUUUGCGAAUGACGGUACCUGAAGAAUAAGCACCGGCUAACUACGUGCCAGCAGCCGCAGUAA